AACGAACGCUGGCGGCAUGCCUAACACAUGCAAGUCGAACGAGACCUUCGGGUCUCUGGGCGCACGGGUGCGUAACGCGUGGGAACCUGCCCUUAGGUUCGGAAUAACUCCCCGAAAGGGGUGCUAAUACCGGAUAAUUUCUUCGGACCAAAGAUUUAUCGCCUUUGGAUGGGCCCGCGUUGGAUUAGCUAGUUGGUAGGGUAAAAGCCUACCAAGGCGACGAUCCAUAGCUGGUCUGAGAGGAAGAUCAGCCACACUGGGACUGAGACACGGCCCAGACUCGUACGGGAGGCAGAAGUGGGGCAUAGUGGACAAUGGGCGGAAGGCUGAGCCAGCAGUGGCGGGUGAGUGAUGAAGGCGUUAGGGUUGUAAAGCACGUUUGACCGGGAUGAUAAUGACGGUACCGGGAGAAGAAGCGCCGGCUAACUACGUG
This 433-nucleotide ribosomal RNA is filed under the name uncultured bacterium. Its description in RNAcentral is "partial 16S ribosomal RNA". It matches the Rfam family "Bacterial small subunit ribosomal RNA", at positions 29 to 507 of the family's 1533-position model. The record is from RNAcentral.